Molecule: non-coding RNA, 488 nt
Organism: Carica papaya (papaya)
Lineage: Eukaryota; Viridiplantae; Streptophyta; Magnoliopsida; Brassicales; Caricaceae
Source: RefSeq, a predicted model, not a curated record
AAAAACCGUGGCUCGUCCCUGUGCAGUUGUGAUUUGGAUUUGAGUGUUAAAUGCGUUUGACAUUUGUAAUCGUCUCCUUCUCACAAAAUUCGCAAGCAGAAAAUCAGAGACAGACAAUUUUCUCUUCCUUGUUUGGCUGCUUUUCUUUUCAUGAAGAAAAACACGUUAUUCUCAUCCCUUAACUACCCAUCUCUCCUUCAUUACUCCACUCUCUCGUUCUCCUCCUCACUUUUCUGGAAACCCUCGUUUUCAUGGCGAUAAUGUUACUGUUUAGCUCCAUACCCGACAAAUCAUACACACUUUCCAUGUCGAUUCUCUGUUUGCCAUAAUGGAUCUUCGGCUCCGCCAUUGACGGCUUAAAACCAUGUAUAAUCUGGAGCUAUAUGACUGAUUCUCAACCGUGAAUCCGGAUUUAUCAAUUUAAUUGAACCAUCGGUGAUCUUAGGGCAUUGGCUUUGUAGGAACUUUGGAAGCAUAAUAGGAGAAAA